UCUUCCGAGGCCCAACAUCCUCUAUGAAGGGUUCCUUCGUGAAUCGUAGCUUCUCCUCGUGACGCGACAUCUUAUGGGCACACCACGUAAAACCCUCAGCAGGACGAAGCCAGGGUUUAUCAAAAACCUGGGUGAAGGGUUUACAUGUGAAGCGGGAUGGUUACUAAAGCCAACUGUAGAGGGUGAGGCGUUUCUUGCCUAGGGACGUCGUCCGCAGGGGAGGCCGCCGUAGAAGAGGAAACGUGUUGGAGCACUCUUCCCGCCCACCUUCCUUUCUUCUAUAGCCGUUGUACCGCCGCGGCCUGCACCGCCACCACCUUCCAGUCGUUAUCAUCCUCCGCCCGUCGCUACCAACCACUGCUCGCCGCCAUUACCUCCCGCCACCGCCAGCCGUCGCCUUCCCGACGCCUGCCAUCGCCGCCGCCUCCUCUUUCCUCUCACG
This 442-nucleotide long non-coding RNA is filed under the name Spirodela polyrhiza (greater duckweed). RNAcentral describes it as "long non-coding RNA (SPOL_LNC001552)". The record is from RNAcentral. Lineage: Eukaryota; Viridiplantae; Streptophyta; Magnoliopsida; Alismatales; Araceae.